CACGGCGCUUAAAGGAAAGUGGCAAUUUUCUCACUUGAAAGAACUUUUGAAACUAAAUGUUAACUUCUUUUACCGAUUUUUCAUAUUUUGCUUAGUUUUUUAACUAUCUCCACUUGAAGUAAUGAGAUGUCCGCCAUCUUGGAUAAACUUUUGAUCUCAAUUAGUAUAGGUAAUCAUGCGAUGGCGAGUAUAAUUAGGGAUUAAUAGUACGUGUUUGGAAAUUUUGCCAAAAUUGGACGAGCCGCCGGGGCGAGUUCAAUUUGGCAAAUUUACAAACAUCACGAGUACUAUUAAUCCCUAAUUGUACGAGCAACAUCGCAUGAUUACUUGUUUAUUAUUAGCAUGACAAAAUUGGAUACGUACUUCUCAAUGCCAACAUCAUAUUCUC
Non-coding RNA from Paramuricea clavata, 388 nucleotides. The record is from the annotation of a GenBank genome assembly. NCBI's taxonomy places the organism in Eukaryota, Metazoa, Cnidaria, Anthozoa, Malacalcyonacea, Plexauridae.